GCUGCAGUGAGCCAUGAUUGCACCACUGCACUUCAGCCUGGGCGACACAGCUGUGUGUUUUUUUGGUUUCAACAAACACUCAAAAAAGACAUAGUCUCAAAGCCGUUGCUCCACCUGAUGGCUGUGCUCCCCGCCACCUACAGACUUCCUGUUGGCCACCCACUGGGACCCCUAGCUCUUCUGGGACCUUGGCACCAAGAGUCUGCCAAGCUUGAAAGCUGGAAGUCACCACUGAUUCCUCCCUCACUCCAUCCUCACUCUGUUCACUAAAUCCUGUUGAAUUCACCCAGAUGGUCAUUCACAGAAAACCCCACUACUAUUGUCCCUAGCAACUUACCUUCAGUGUGGCUGUCUCACUUCUGACAAAAGAAAAGAAAAUCAACAAUCCUUC
Homo sapiens (human) is the source of this 391-nucleotide long non-coding RNA. RefSeq lists it as uncharacterized. The record is from RefSeq and is a predicted model, not a curated record. The transcript is spliced from 3 exons. NCBI's taxonomy places the organism in Eukaryota, Metazoa, Chordata, Mammalia, Primates, Hominidae.